GUGGGGAAUAUUGGACAAUGGGGGCAACCCUGAUCCAGCCAUGCCGCGUGAAUGAUGAAGGCCUUCGGGUUGUAAAGUUCUUUUGGAGGGGACGAUGAUGACGGUACCCUCAGAAUAAGCUCCGGCUAACUUCGUGCCAGCAGCCGCGGUAAUACGAAGGGAGCUAGCGUUGUUCGGAAUUACUGGGCGUAAAGGGCGCGUAGGCGGUUUGGUUAGUCAGAUGUGAAAGCCCAGGGCUUAACCCUGGAACUGCGUUUGAUACUGCCAAGCUUGAAUUCGGGAGAGGUGAGUGGAAUUCCCAGUGUAGAGGUGAAAUUCGUAGAUAUUGGGAAGAACACCGGUGGCGAAGGCGACUCACUGGCCCGUUACUGACGCUGAGGCGCGAAAGCGUGGGGAGCAAACAGGAUUAGAAACCCUAGUAGUCC
This 425-nucleotide ribosomal RNA is filed under the name uncultured bacterium. RNAcentral describes it as "partial 16S ribosomal RNA". It matches the Rfam family "Bacterial small subunit ribosomal RNA", at positions 354 to 796 of the family's 1533-position model. The record is from RNAcentral.